UUUAAAUUGAGAGUUUGAUCCUGGCUCAGGACGAACGCUGGCGGCGUGCCUAACACAUGCAAGUCGAGCGAUGCGAUCCUUCGGGAUCAAUUAGCGGCGGACGGGUGAGUAACACGUGGGUAACCUGCCUCAAAGAGGGGAAUAGCCUCCCGAAAGGGAGAUUAAUACCGCAUAAUAUGUUUUGAUCGCAUGAUCUUAACAUCAAAGGAAUUUUUCGGAAUUUCACUUUGAGAUGGACCCGCGGCGCAUUAGCUAGUUGGUGAGGUAAAGGCCCACCAAGGCAACGAUGCGUAGCCGACCUGAGAGGGUGAUCGGCCACAUUGGAACUGAGACACGGUCCAGACUCCUACGGGAGGCAGCAGUGGGGAAUAUUGCGCAAUGGGGGAAACCCUGACGCAGCAACGCCGCGUGAAUGAUGAAGGCCUUCGGGUUGUAAAGUUCUGUCUUCUGGGACGAUAAUGACGGUACCAGAGGAGGAAGCCACGGCUAACUACGUGCCAGCAGCCGCGGUAAUACGUAGGUGGCAAGCGUUGUCCGGAUUUACUGGGCGUAAAGGAUGCGUAGGCGGACAUUUAAGUCAGAUGUGAAAUACCCGAGCUUAACUUGGGUGCUGCAUUUG
This 619-nucleotide ribosomal RNA is filed under the name Clostridium estertheticum. Its description in RNAcentral is "bacterial SSU rRNA". It matches the Rfam family "Bacterial small subunit ribosomal RNA", at positions 1 to 629 of the family's 1533-position model. Lineage: Bacteria; Bacillati; Bacillota; Clostridia; Eubacteriales; Clostridiaceae. The record is from RNAcentral.